CAGCAGCCGCGGGAAUACGAAGGGGGCUAGCGUUGCUCGGAAUGACUGGGCGUAAAGGGCGCGUAGGCGGCGGCCAAAGUCAGGCGUGAAAUUCCCGGGCUCAACCUGGGGGCUGCGCUUGAUACUUGGUUGCUUGAGUGGGGAAGAGGGUCGUGGAAUUCCCAGUGUAGAGGUGAAAUUCGUAGAUAUUGGGAAGAACACCGGUGGCGAAGGCGGCGACCUGGUCCUUGACUGACGCUGAGGCGCGAAAGCGUGGGGAGCAAACAGGAUUAGAUACCCGCGUAGUCCCUGUCUCUUAUAC
This 301-nucleotide ribosomal RNA is filed under the name uncultured bacterium. Its description in RNAcentral is "partial 16S ribosomal RNA". It matches the Rfam family "Bacterial small subunit ribosomal RNA", at positions 509 to 807 of the family's 1533-position model. The record is from RNAcentral.